RNAcentral lists this ribosomal RNA (909 nucleotides) under uncultured bacterium. RNAcentral describes it as "bacterial SSU rRNA". It matches the Rfam family "Bacterial small subunit ribosomal RNA", at positions 621 to 1528 of the family's 1533-position model. The record is from RNAcentral.
AGGCAGUGGAAACUGAACAGCUAGAGGUCGGAAGGGGCAGAGGGAAUUCCCAGUGUAGCGGUGAAAUGCGUAGAUAUUGGGAAGAACACCGGUGGCGAAAGCGCUCUGCUGGGCCGAACCUGACGCUGAGGGACGAAAGCUAGGGGAGCGAAUGGGAUUAGAUACCCCAGUAGUCCUAGCCGUAAACGAUGGAGACUAGGUGUUGCCUGUAUCGACCCGGGCAGUGCCGAAGCCAACGCGUUAAGUCUCCCGCCUGGGGAGUACGCACGCAAGUGUGAAACUCAAAGGAAUUGACGGGGGCCCGCACAAGCGGUGGAGUAUGUGGUUUAAUUCGAUGCAACGCGAAGAACCUUACCAGGGCUUGACAUCCCGCGAAUCCCGGCGAAAGUUGGGAGUGCCUACGGGAGCGCGGAGACAGGUGGUGCAUGGCUGUCGUCAGCUCGUGUCGUGAGAUGUUGGGUUAAGUCCCGCAACGAGCGCAACCCUCGUCCUUAGUUGCCAGCCUUAAGUGGGGCACUCUAGGGAGACUGCCGGUGAUAAACCGGAGGAAGGUGGGGAUGACGUCAAGUCAUCAUGCCCCAUAUGUCCUGGGCGACACACGUACUACAAUGGUCGGGACAGCGAGCAGCCAACUCGCGAGAGUGAGCUAAUCUCUCAAACCCGGCCUCAGUUCAGAUUGCAGGCUGCAACUCGCCUGCAUGAAGGAGGAAUCGCUAGUAAUCGCAGGUCAGCAUACUGCGGUGAAUCCGUUCCCGGGCCUUGUACACACCGCCCGUCACACCAUGGAAGUCGGCCAUGCCCGAAGUCAUUACUCUAACCGUUCGCGGAGGAGGGUGCCGAAGGCAGGGCUGAUGACUGGGGUGAAGUCGUAACAAGGUAGCCGUACCGGAAGGUGUGGCUGGAUCACCU